This 643-nucleotide long non-coding RNA is filed under the name Phascolarctos cinereus (koala). RNAcentral's name for it is "lncRNA (ENSPCIG00000037420.1)". The record is from RNAcentral. Lineage: Eukaryota; Metazoa; Chordata; Mammalia; Diprotodontia; Phascolarctidae.
GGAAGCCCGACCAGGUGUUUGCCUCCCAGAGCCGUUUACUCUCAAUGCCAGUUGGGGCAGUUCCCUUGGCAAGAACCAUUGGGCUAUGGGAACUGACCACCCCCGGGGAAGUUCAUUGCCGAGAGAUUCAGGGGCUCACCUAGGACUGCCAUGCAGGAAGACUCCUGAGAACAAGGGGCCAUCUUGGUUGAGCUUGACCACUGAACAGAAAGGCUGAUGAGGAAGAAAUCCAUUUCAGGUCCAGGGCUGUGCUGAGAGUUUACUAAACAUGGGGCACUAUGUUGGUAUCUGACAGCCAAGCCCUAGUCUCACUGAGAAGUCUGAUUCCCGUUCCUCCAUGAGCUUACAAUCACAUUGGGAAGAUGAGCCAUGAAGUGGUACAAAGGAGUUCCUGGAAAUUGUUUGGAUGCACCAUCUAUUCAAAACCAUUGCUCGUGAGUCCCUAUUUUUCACUGGAUCUCCCUCUAUCAUGUGCGCAAUUAAACAGGUGACAUCUUAGGAAGGUAAAGGUCAAUUACUUGAAACAAAAGGCAAAUUGAGCAACAAAGGGUUAAAUCAACAACAGGCUUUCCAGUGUCUCCCAUUUCUUGAAACUCCCUUCUUGUGCCUCUAAUUUAGGAGGAAAUAAAUCUACUCAUCUCUG